Homo sapiens (human) is the source of this 1683-nucleotide long non-coding RNA. RefSeq lists it as uncharacterized. NCBI's taxonomy places the organism in Eukaryota, Metazoa, Chordata, Mammalia, Primates, Hominidae. The transcript is spliced from 2 exons. The record is from RefSeq and is a predicted model, not a curated record.
ACACACACACACACACUCACUCACAUACACUUAAUUGCUAAUUGCUUCCACACUAUCACACUCAACUCACACUCCACCUCCUCUGCGCCCUCCCCAGCAGACACCCGCUUCAGGAACCAAGUUGGUAAGAGCUAGUAUUUGGCGCCCUCUGGUGGAAUUACAUGAGAAAUGCCAAAUCCAAAUAACUGCCAAGAUUCCCAGGCGAUUGAGGGAAGGAGGAGCCUUGGCCACCCAUCCCAGGCCCCUUGUUUUCCAGAUAAGGAAACCAAAGACCCCAAGAGGGGUAGGACUUGCUGGAGACUACACAGCGAGCAGGCAGCUAGAACCUCACUCCCUAGCUCCCAGGCUAAUGCUCCUUUGUAUGAUCCCAGCUGCUGACAGACAACAACGCGGACCUCAUCUUCCUACUGGCCAGACCCAGGAGGCCCUGGAGCCUUCCUUCCCAGAAAGAAGCUUCGGAGCACUGCUUGGUGCCAGCCACGGUGCUGGGAGCUGCGGAUGCAAGGACCGUGGCGAUCGUUCCAUGGCUGUUAGCCACGAUGAUUCUAGGAGCCUCGGUGGCCCACGUCCUAGGCUGGAGUCCCCAUAGGCUACUGGGACUCGCCCUGCUUGGAAGUGGACGAGGCGUUUCUCCGGCCCUGGCUCUCCUGGCCUUCUCCAGCCCAAUGUGUGACCCGCUACAGCCACCUGGUGGGCCGCGGGGGAAUACAGCAACGAUUUCAAUAAACCCCAGGACAUAGGCCCUGCCGGGAAAGGAGUCUGGGGCCUGGCAUGGUCUAGAUUCCCUCCCCAAGGACUGCCCAGUCCCCUUCCCCCUCCAUCCUCAGUUCCCUUUAGUAAUAGAGAAAGCCGUCCCCCGUGUUCUCUCGGCUGAUCUAUAGUAGGCGAGGGUGGGCAUGGAAUAAAACGACCGCUUCUGCUGCUUUACUCCUCAGGUUAUUUCCAUUCGAAAUUAGUUAGGCAGGGAGGAGACAUCAGGCUGGAGCCCAGAGGCAGGAGGGAAGCGCCCACCGACCCCACCCCGCGUUCCAAAACGUUCCCUCCAGCGCAGCGUCUCCCAAUAGCCGGGAUCCUGGGGGUCCCAGCCAAUCUGAUGGGGGUCGCGUUUUUCCCGGCCUGGGACGCGGGAGGCUCCAUUCUGCACCAGAAGCGGGGAGGGCCAAGGGAGACAUGAGCACAGCUGGCUCGAGUGGCUCGUGGAGUUAGCCUGCAGCCGCCUCUCUGGUGGGCGCUGGAUCCCCACAAGCCCCCAGGGGAAAACGGUCUACGCCUCUUAGACCCGCACCUUCGCCAGCAGAACCGGAACUGCCACUGCUGCUAGGAGAAAGUCUUGGACAAUAAUCGCGACGUCCAGGCCACACAGGCCAUAAACCGCCACGGGAGCAGCGAGCGCCCUGAGUAGCGCAGCCCCCCGCUCCCCAGGAGGUGGGAACCACGCUGGAACCAGCAAGCCCAAGCUCUGCGCCUUCGCGGCGAGAUCUGACGGCCCUAGUGGCCCCCAUCCUCCCGUCGGCCGGAGACCGGACCCGGUUACCACCACCUCCCCGCAAUUUCUAGUCUCUAAAUUAUGCUGUCCCCGAAAACAAAGAAAGUGACCAAGAAAUAAUGUGAAAAUGUUACCAAGAGAGUUUACUAUUGAAAGAAGUCUAGCCAUCAAAUAAAUGUCUUUUACUAAACGAUGAA